RNAcentral lists this ribosomal RNA (406 nucleotides) under uncultured bacterium. RNAcentral's name for it is "partial 16S ribosomal RNA". It matches the Rfam family "Bacterial small subunit ribosomal RNA", at positions 30 to 526 of the family's 1533-position model. The record is from RNAcentral.
AUUGAACGCUGGCGGCAGGCCUAACACAUGCAAGUCGAGCGAGCGGCGGACGGGUGAGUAAUGUCUGGGAAACUGCCUGAUGGAGGGGGAUAACUACUGGAAACGGUAGCUAAUACCGCAUACCAUGAGCUGUGCCCAGAUGGGAUUGGCUGGUAGGUGGGGUAACGGUUCACCUAGGCGACGAUCCCUAGCGGGUCUGAGAGGAUGACCACCCACACUGGAACUGAGACACGGUCCAGACUCCUACGGGAGGCAGCAGGGGGGAAUAUUGCACAAUGGGCGCAAGCCUGAUGCAGCCAUGCCGCGUGUGUGAAGAAGGCCUUCGGGUUGUAAAGCACUUUCAGCGGGGAGGCGUUACCCGAAGAAGAAGCACCGGCUAACUCCGUGCCAGCAGCCGCGGUAAUUC